RNAcentral lists this unclassified non-coding RNA (413 nucleotides) under Hevea brasiliensis (rubber tree). Lineage: Eukaryota; Viridiplantae; Streptophyta; Magnoliopsida; Malpighiales; Euphorbiaceae. The record is from RNAcentral.
AAAAAAACAAGAUUUUGCCAUAGUAACAAAUUAUAAGUUUGGAAGACAACAGAAACUUUACAUCAUAAAUGUUAACUAAAGAAUCUAAACAAAGAGAAGAUAGAUACAAGAAAAAAGGAAAAAGAAACGCAGGAUUGGUGAAAAGGGUACCUAGGUAUGAACAGAACUCUAGAGGGAUAAGUGAGGCCCACAGAGCGGAUUGCAGGGAAAGCUCUCAUCUUUUGCAGCUUGAAAAAGAAAAUUUUUAUUGAAGAAAACUUCAGAAACGAAGGUGGGAGAUUUAUCUUGUUCUGGAGCACUUGCUUUGCUUCAACUUUCUUUGAGCGAGCGAAGGGAGCAGACGAUAGAGGAAGGGAAAAUGUCUUGGAUAUGUUGUUGUGUGGGGUUUGAAUAUCUCUGGCUCUCUGUCCGUG